UACAGAGACUGCAAGCGUUAUUCGGAUUCACUGGGCGUAAAGCGUGCGCAGGCGGUUCGUUAAGUCAGAUGUGAAAGCCCCGGGCUCAACCUGGGAACUGCAUUUGAAACUGGCGGGCUUGAGUGCGGCAGAGGGGGGUGGAAUUCCGCGUGUAGCAGUGAAAUGCGUAGAGAUGCGGAGGAACACCGAUGGCGAAGGCAGCCCCCUGGGCCGACACUGACGCUCAGGCACGAAAGCGUGGGGAGCAAACAGG
Molecule: ribosomal RNA, 253 nt
Filed under: uncultured bacterium
Lineage: Bacteria
Description: partial 16S ribosomal RNA
Rfam family: Bacterial small subunit ribosomal RNA
Source: RNAcentral